Molecule: ribosomal RNA, 253 nt
Filed under: uncultured bacterium
Lineage: Bacteria
Description: partial 16S ribosomal RNA
Rfam family: Bacterial small subunit ribosomal RNA
Source: RNAcentral
UACGAGGGGGGCAAGUGUUGUUCGGAAUCACUGGGCGUAAAGGGAGCGUAGGCGGGCUUUUAAGUGAGGUGUUUAGUCCCGGGGCCCAACCCCGGUCCGGCACCUCAAACUGGGAGUCUUGAAUAGUGGAGAGGUCAGUGGAAUUGGGGGUGUAGCGGUGGAAUGCGUAGAGAUCCCCAAGAACACCAGUUGCGAAGGCGGCUGACUGGACACAUAUUGACGCUGAGGCUCGAAAGCAUGGGGAGCAAACAGG